GCCGAAUUAGCUCAGUCGGCAGAGCGCACGACUCUUAAUCGUGUGGUCGUGGGUUCGAUCCCCACAUUCGGUGGCCUA
Molecule: transfer RNA, 78 nt
Filed under: Cylindrotheca closterium
Lineage: Eukaryota; Bacillariophyta; Bacillariophyceae; Bacillariales; Bacillariaceae
Rfam family: tRNA
About the family: Transfer RNA (tRNA) molecules are approximately 80 nucleotides in length.
Source: RNAcentral